Molecule: long non-coding RNA, 30673 nt
Filed under: Vitis vinifera (wine grape)
Lineage: Eukaryota; Viridiplantae; Streptophyta; Magnoliopsida; Vitales; Vitaceae
Description: long non-coding RNA (VVIN_LNC006478)
Source: RNAcentral
GCUAGUUAGAUAGUAAAUCCUGGUCAUUGAUUGAGGGGCGGUCAGGGGUUUUGGCAAUGCGGGUGGGGUUAAGGGUCUUGGUUCAAUGACUAGUUGGCCAGCUUUGCGCUUGGCCUUGGCAGUGGAGGUGGCUGAGCAGUGGACAAGGGCGGGGAAGAGUAUAUGGUGGCGUCUACCGACAUUGUUGGGAGACCUUAGAGAGUAGUACUUGUGAUGUGGGAAGGAGGUGGAGAUUGAAGGGUGUGGGAGGCUAAGAAAAAACCCACCGCAAGAGGGAGUAAAUAAAGGUGGAAAUAGUGGCUGUGGAGAUAGAGAAAGCAGUGUGGUAUGAGGAGAUGAUGCGUGGGGCUGUGGAAGUCGCUAGUGGUGUGUGGAGAAUGUGUCACAGAUUGCUUAAAAGCUUAUCCUGGAUGAUUCCUCAACUUCUCUACCAAUAUACAUUAUUCAUCAAGGUUCAAGCUACACCAAUGUACACCAUCCACCAGUCAUCAUCAAUCAAGCAAGGUUCAAAGUAAUGGUAGAGUUGGAUACAAUUCAGCCAAGUCGUGUUCAACUUUACCACUAAUUGUAGUAAGUAGUAGUAUUAUGCAUGGUUCAAAGUUGUAGUAUCGAUAAUUGACUUGGAGGGUUAUGAGGCAUAUCGGUCUCAACGUCUCGAUUUGGUAUUGGGCGACACGUAAAAUAAGAUAAUUAAAAUUUUCUAAAAAUUAUAAAAAUAUUAUAUAAAUUAUAAAAAAAUAGAUAUAAUUAAAUAAGCUCAAAAAUUUAAUAAACAAUUUUUUUUUUUCACAUUUAGUUCAAAGUUAUUUGUGAUAAUAUUAAGAAUUGGGGAUUUAAUUCUCAUCUUGCCAUAUAAAUACUUUAAUUUAUCAUUAAAUCUCAUCUAUACCUUUCAUAUCAUUUUACUCUAACCACUCAAUUCUCAUAAUAUCUUACUAUUAAAUCAUAUCUCAUACCAUCCAUAUAAAAGACAUUUUUUACUUUACUAAUUUGAACUCCCAAUCUCCCACCCUUGCUAGCCACCAUUGUUGUCAAGACCAUCGCCUGCAAUUGCAAAUUUGAAACCGUGCAAGACCUAACACUGGUAUAAUAUGGUAUGCAAUCCUUACAAGUUCUAAAACCAUGCCGUUCUACAUAUCUAGGCCUAAAGCGAUGGGGAAAUUGAAAAUAAAUUUUAGUUGUAUUUGAGUUAACAAAGAAAAAAAAGGCAGACGAUCAAACAAACUUUAAACAACAAAAGGGUAAAUUAUAGAUGACAUCUGAGCAUUCAAUGUAAAACGAUCAAUCUCUUUAGGGAGCUCAAGCGUAUCAUCAUGGAGGGUGUUCAAGUGCCCUCUACUUUUUAUUUUCCAAAGGUUUUAUAAAGUCAUGAAAAUUUUUCACUUUUCAAAAGGGGUUUUACAUAAUUAGAAUUUAGGGUUUUGAUAUAAAAAUAUCUUUUUGUGUAGGGGAAAAGUGUCUUUAUAAAGACAAAAAUAAAAAUAAAAAAAUAAAAAAUCAUAAAACAAGAAUUAAAUUCAAAUACAAUACUCAUUAUGAUUUUGUACACUUUUAGGCAAAAGUAUUAUCUUUGACUAUAAAACCAUAAAACUACAAAAUAAGAACGCAAGUUUAUAAAAUACAAAUUUUAAAUACUCAUAUAAAAAUAAUUAAUAUUUUAUGUUUUUUAUUUUUAUUUUAUAAAAUGUGUUAUCUUUGAUUAUUCAAGUAUUACAUUUUAAUGAGAUAAGUAUUAUCUUUGACCUUCUUAGGUACAAUCUUUAACUUAUAAGUACAUAAAAUUUAAAUUAUUUUUAGAUACUAUCUUUGAUCAUUCUAAGUACUACUUUUAAUUUUAGAGUGCAUGAAACUUGAAUUAUCUUUCGGGAGUUAUCAAUUUGUGUUUAUUUUCAAAUUUUUGAAUGAGUCAUUUAAUUAUUCCCUAAAAUAUUCUUUCUACUUGCCAUCAACAUUCAUUGAAAACUAGACUCCUCCACGUAAAUAUUAAGGGUUUCCAAUGGUUGGGAAGUAGUAUGCCUGAUUCACUUUCAUAGGAAUUGAUAGACUAAAGAUACAAAUCUGAAAAAAAAAAGGUACUUGCUUUCAUCAACUUGUUAAUAUUAGGGAUAUUGAUUAAUUGUCUAGAAGAGAAGAUCAUCUAGAAUGAUAUAUGAGGAAUUCAAAGGCAACUAUUGGCUCUAAGCCUAUGCAUAUGAAUCAGAAGACAGUUCUACCUUUUCAAAUUGUAGAAGACAUACUAAGUACAAGACGAUGCAUUUAGGCGGAGGAGUUUAGUUGUUAGUUGAUGUUAAUGACAUGACAAGUAAAAUGACAUUUUAAGGAAUAAUUAGACGAUUUAAAAAAUUUAGAGUUAUUUUUUUUCAUAUUUUUCAUACUAGUGAGUCAUAAGUCACUUUUCCUAAUAAAAAAAAUAGUAAUAUGACACCAAAUUCUACUCGGGAUUUUAAUUCUCCGUGCCACGUGAUAUCAUAAAUGAUUUGAGAAAGGGAUCAUAAAAAAAUAAAUAAAUAUAUAAGAACUUAAAUAAAUUCAUUGUUGCAUGCAUUUUAUUUGUGAAAGUAGUGUUGCGCAUAAUAACAUGAAGGUGGUAAACAGAAAUCAGUCCCAAACAUCAAGAGACUGCAGAAGAAUGCUUGGCUUGGUGUGGUCAAAUGUUGUAAUUAUUUAAUUAUGAGUUUGUUGAAUGCAUUUAAUUGCAAUUAUUUUUUCAAGAAUUUAUGUAUAUUAUAAAAAUAUUAGGUUUGAUAAUUGUUUUUUGGUAUGAAGACCAAUGGUAGAGCGACACGUGAAGGGAUUUUUUGAGAGGCCGUUUCUUUAGGGUGGGAUUCUGCAGGCCGUGAAAAAGAAGGGGGCAAGAGUGAGCUGGUUUGGGGAGCAAAGGAGGGAGAAACAGAAGAGCGGAAACGGUGAGACUGAGCUGUUUUUGGGGAGAGAUGUUUUUCGGGAGGUGGUUUUUUGAGCUGAACAGAGGAACAGAUUGAGUACCGGCUGAAGGAGGAUCUAGAAGAGGAAACAUGAGUAAGGGGGAUUUUUUCUGAGUUCCCCAGAGCAGAAGAGGAGCAUUGGGAAGGACUUCCAGGUAAGUUUACUUUGUAUUGUCCAUUUUCUCCCAUAUCAUACUAUUUUCUUUCUUUGUUGUUGUGUUUGGUUGGCAUUUGUUGCUUGGAUGUGUGAAUCAGAGAACACAUUGAUUCCAGCUGAUUUAUGGGUUGUAUUGACAUUGCCAUAGUUGUUUCAUUUCCUUUGCCUUGGUUCUGUUAGGAUUAUUUUGUCCCUGUUUCAUCUGUGUUUGAUGCUUGAAAAUCAUGCCAGUUGUUUUUGUUAAUUCCACCCGUCCUUGGCCCAUGGAUGUCGCCUGAAAUGAGGCUCUGUACAUUCGUUAUCCGCUUGAUUUCCUUUUGUUAUUUCUUCAGUCCUUACUCUGCCUCUAUCUCUGCUUUCUAUUCCUCUAUUUGUGGUAAGUUCGGGGUGUUGAGUAUUCCAGCUAGGUUGGCCAUCUUGGUUGGGGUGUUUCUGGGAGUUGCAACUCCACUACUAUAUUCUGUGGAUCCUUAGCUGCAGACUCUGAUGUUUGAGCAUGAGGAGGGUCCGACUGUGAAAGAGGUAUUUCUCGAUUUUAGGUCGCAAGGUGUUGCUGCAGAGCAGAUUGGUGAUUUGAUCAGGAAAUUGAAUGAUGGUAGCCUUAUUCUUGGUGGUUUGACCAUAUCGAGCAUUGCUUGGGUAGCCUGAAGUGGGGAUUCUUACAGGAGCAGGCAAUGCAGAAAGCUAAGAAGGAGAGAGAGAUGGUGCAGAAUAUUGCCUCUUCUAGUUCAGCCAAACCCACAACCUGUGAUGAAGUUUGCCAGAUUAAGUCAUCGCUCCAUGGACAUUGUUCUUGUCACUCGAGAAGAGUGGUGAUUGCUCUCAGAGUAAUCGACAAGCAUGAGAUGAAAAUAGCAACUUAUUGGUGAUUGAGUAUGGGUUUUGCAAAUCCAAAGACCAUCAAACCUUAUCAAUGCAAGAAGAACCUUCCUAUCCUAACUCCUAUGACCUUCCAUAUAAACACUCAUUCGUGGGGUAUAGAAUCUAUUCCCUCAAUCCCAGUUCUUGAUUUCUCUGCUCAAAAUGGCCACCCCGCUCUUUGCGGAUAUUGACAGUAAGGAGAACCCAAGAAUAUGGUUGUCAAGUAGGCAUCAUUAGACUUGCAGGUGGAGCCCUCAAGAAAGCCUCUUUAUGCUUAUUUAAUUGUGGUCCUACUGGUUCUAAAACAUUGCUUAUUGAUGGGAUUGACUAAUAAGUAUCAUGCAAACAGAUGGUGGGAAUUUUCGGUAAUUAUUUGAAUGAAGAAGAAACUUGAUGGACAUUCACUUGGGAUUGAGGAGAGCUGAAAAAGAGGCUAAUUGACAUCCAAGUCAUGCACUAGUUUACCAAUCAUGUUAUCAGAUGAAACUUCAUAGUUUUCUAGGGAAAAAAAAUUUAAAUGGUAGUAAUGAGACGGAAGGCACUGUUGGUUGGAAGCUUUCAAGCAGUCCAUGAAUACUUCACCUUGCCCUAGUCUCUCAAGCCCCAUUUUUGUUUCUUCACACCAUACCCCACGCCUACAACCCCAUCACAAGCUCAUCGCCUUCCCAUCUUUCAUACCCACCAAACCCAAAUCUCAAACCAAUCAUCCGUCAAACUUUCCAACCUCCACCUCCUGGUCUGCCUGCUCUACCCAAUCUGACCCCAUCUGUUCCACCCAACAAGUGCCCCAACGCCAUCCCAGAUCCGAAGACUGUGCAGUAUGUGGAGAAUGACUGUGGAUAUUCCAUGAAGCUCAGCAACUACCAUCUAGGGGGUAUCCAUUUGCAUCUAACGAACAAGGUUUUGAUGUGUUCAACACUGCCAUUGAUGAACCAUUUGAAUCCACAUUAGUCAGUACAGUACCUCUAAUUGUUGGCGCCACAUAUUUGGCUUCCAAUGCAAUUGACUCUUUGCAUGGCCACUUCCUGUUUCUAAAUGCUCCAUCUAUCGGCGUACUAUGAAGCAACUUCUUUGCGUGUAUCUAGAGACCACUCGAUUCCCUUAACACCUUUCCACCACUCAUCCCUUACUCUUUGCUUUCUCCACAAAUUCAAUAGCACCUUGGAGUUUUGCCCGAAAGACACGAAGCAUGCCUUAAGAUUGGAAAAGCGAAGGAUGUACAACUAUUGUGCUUAUGAUUUGCUGUUCUUGCAUUUCGGAACCUCAAAUGAAGUGCUUGAUUACCUAAGCGAGGUAGGCUCAAAGCUUGUAGAUCAAAGACACUUGUGUUCUGUUCUAGCAAUCAUCAUACCUAACAUUUUCACUAUGUGGGUGGUCAUUUACCUUAUCUGUAUUUCCGUCCAUGGAGCUAGGUUAAUAGCACUGAAAGAGCUUAUGGAGAUGGAAGAAAAACUUGUCAGAAAGAAUCGCGUUUUGUUCAAAUCAAAACUAGCUGUUGGAUCGUGGUGACAGUCUUCAUGCAAUGAGAACAAGGUUGCAACUUGCCUCCAUAUUCUUGCUGAAAAUAGCUCUCAAUGCCCACAAGCCAUGACCUUCAGAAGAAUCAAUUCAGUGGCUAAUCGCCAUCUCUCAUUGGCUCACUGGAAUUGCAUUGCAAAAUUCAGCUCAACUGAGAAGUUUAUCAUUGGUAAAUUGCAAUUUGGUUGGUCCUCUGCCAGAACUUAUGGAUGUGAUUCUUACGGAGAAGUCGCGGUUCCGAACAAACUGAACUUGGUUAUCCUCAUGAUAAUAGAGGACCAUGGAAGUUCUUAUGAAGAAACACAAUGAUUAAGAUGUGAAAGAUGAACAGACAGUGGAUAUUCUAGCCCUGGAGUUGGAAAAUGUUCAAUCAAGCGACACUUUCCAGCACUAGUGAGAAGAGCCUUUUGCAUCUCGUCAAUCACUAUUCUCACUACCCAAAGCAUUUUGCCAUUGUUUUGCUUUGUUGCAAAGAUCUUAAGUCUUGAAGAUGAGCUGUCAUCCGACAGUGAAAUGGGUACAGAGAGGACUUUCUUUUCCAAGUUCCUAAAUAAGUCACAAUCCCUGGUAGUUUUCAUGUACAAGGGUCCUAAGUACCUUUCGCCAAAUUCAUCUGAUUCAAGAGAACAUCAGCUAAAGGAAGCAAAUCACCCGCGCAGAUUUUGGUGAGAGCCUGAAGUAUUUAUAGCAAAAUGGUGGCGUAGGAACUAUUAUUUGGAACUGCAGAUGUUGAUGGUGAGAAAGGAAAUGGAGCAUAUGGGUAUGCCCAAGUCUCCACGGAUGGAAAAUGUCACCAACUUUGUUGAAGUUGAUCCUACUGUAGCUUCAUUAUGUGAAAUGGAUCUGGGUAAAAGAGAAGGCAAGAUAUCUUCUCACCUCCUUUGUUGAUGGACUCGUUAGUGUCAGCAGAUUCUUGCGAAGACUUGCUUGCACCUGCUCAAAAUUUGUAUCCUAGAGAAGAUACCCCGGGCCCAUUUCUACACCCAUGCAUGGCCACCUUUGGCAUGCAAUCCCAUCUUUGCACCCCGGACCCCACUCUUGCAUGGCAUGCAUGGCCACCUUUCGGUGGGUCAGUUUUUUUAAAAUCCUUGUCCUCAUUUUCUCACUUCUUCAUCUUUUGCUGUCAAAAUUUGAUUUUCAAAACUCCAGUUUUUCAAAUAAUUUUAAUUCUACUCUGGUUUUCAAAUAAUUUUAGUUUUUUUUUUUCUCCUUCCUUAAAGUCUAGAAUCACCAAAAAUCCCGUUUUUAAUAAACUUGCUGCCUUUUUCCUCCAAGCAAACACUUUCACAAAUUUUCUUUGAUUUUAAAAUAAUUUUCCGAUUUUCUCGUUUUUUUAUAAAUAUGAAUGAAUUUUCAUAAUUCCAAAAUAAUGGAAUUCAUGAGAUUAAUUCAUGUCAAAUCAAUUGGGCUUUGGUGGGGGCCCUACAUAUGAGUUUUCUCCUCUGAUUGUCAACUGCUAUGCUUAAUGAAUUUUGUCUGAUCUCUGUCAUGCUCUUUGAUAUGCAUGUGAUAAUUUUAUACACGAGCUAACCUUGUUUCCAUGAUAACACAUUCUUAUUUGCUGCUAAGGUACGCUCCCACUCUCACUUUUUUUAUUUAUUCUCCAUGCAUGAUUGACUUCCAAUGUAUGAAUAUUCCUUGAUAUUAAUUGAUUUCCUUAUCAAUUGUCACACUUACUUCACCUUAUUUAGUAGAAACUCGUUUUUAAGGGGUUUAGCGGGGUGCUGUGGCUCGUCACCGUAUCUUCUCAAUAGGUAACUUGACCUCCGGACCCAGAUUUGGUUUUCAUAGACCAUUUUUUCCUUUUAGGAGUUGCACCUAGGGUUUUCUUUCUUAUUUUGUUUUCUGUUAAAAAAAAAAAAAGUAGUCGCGCCAUCAAGUGGGGAACACAUCAUGAAAAAUGCGAGGCCCACAACUAGACAUAAAAAUUAUUUUUAAAACAUAUUUAAAAAUAUGUUAAAAAGAAUUCAAAUUCUCAAAUAAACUUAUGUUUUAAGAAACAUUAGAAAACGAUUUUUAAAAACUAUAAUAAAAAACUAUUUUUGAAAAUAGUUACCAAACAGAGUCGAAACAAAGUCUUAUGUUUGAUACUUUUUUUUAGUAAUUUUUUUUGUAGUAUUUUAAUUGAAUAGUUGAUUUGAUAUACUGAUAGUGUCUUGAGACAUUGGAGAAAGAAAUGGAAUCGAAUAAAAAGAAAUGGAAUCAUUGUUUCUAGAAAUUAGAUGGUAGAGUCCAAGAGAAGGUUGGGCACUACCUUGAAUUAAUGGAUGGUUGAUGAGCAAAAGAUAGGGAUGAAGGCAUUGGUGGUGGGUGUUCUCCUUAAGUUUCCAACCCCAAAUAUGGACAAAAAGGAUAAGACUUCUCCCCACAAGUAAAAGAGCAGCAAAGUGGAAUAUGCUAGGGUUUUAAGCAUGAAAAACAGUCAUAAUUUCCACUUGUUUAUGUCAUCAAUCAUGGACAAAAAGGAUAAGACUUCUCCCCACAAGUAAAAGAGCAGCAAAGUGGACUAUGUCAGGGUUUUAAGCAUGAAAAACACUCAUAAUUUCCACUUGUUUAUGUCACCAAUCAUGGACAAAAAGGAUAACACUUCUCCCCACAAGUAAAAGAGCAGGAAAGUGGAAUAUGCUAGGGUUUUAAGCAUGAAAAACACUCAUAAUUUCCACUUGUUUAUAUCAUCAAUCAUGGACAAAAAGGAUAAGACUUCUCCCCACAAGUAAAAGAGCAGCAAAGUGGAAUAAGCUAGGGUCUUAAGCAUAAAAACCCUCAUAAUUUCCACUUGUUUAUGUCAUCAAUCAUGGACAAAAAGGAUAAGACUUCUCCCCACAAGUAAAAGAGCAGCAAAGUGGAAUAUGCUAGGGUUUUAAGCAUGAAAAACAGUCAUAAUUUCCACUUGUUUAUGUCAUCAAUCAUGGACAAAAAGGAUAAGACUUCUCCCCACAAGUAAAAGCGCAGAAAAGUGGAAUAUGCUAGGGUUUUAAGCAUAAAAAACACUCAUAAUUUCCACUUGUUUAUGUCAUCAAUCAUGGACAAAAUGGUUUAGGGCCAUCCAUAUCUUUUUGGAAAUGAGCUUGAUUUGAUGUAUUGUUUUCCUUAAGUAAUGCAAGGAAAAAGUCCAAAAAUACGAAGGCAUGCGGGUAUGGAUUGUGAAUAAAUUAUAUAUGAGUCAAACUUAGAUCCACCUCUCAUCAUCCAAUAGUGUCUCUCUCCCUUUCUCUCCUACACCAUCUCCCCUCAUCUCCCCCAUGGCACCAUCUUCUCCCUCCGCCUGUCUCCUCCAAACCACCCAUCUCAGAACCUUCCUCAUAAUCUCUCUUCUGGUCUUUGUGCCCCCCAUUCAUGCGCUGAAACUCCCAAUUUGGCCGCGGGACAGACAGCUCUCAAGGCCGAUUCUCAACUCCCUCCACAGCGCAGUGGACCUUCUGCCCACUUUUGUGGGCUCUGUCUCCUCCAACGAGACUGUCGAGUGGACAGGAACGUGCUUUUACAAGACCAGUGCUUGGAUGGAGUUCAACAACAAAAGUGGGAGCGAAUUUGGUGGGGGCACACUUCAUAUUAAGGUUUGGGUUUGGUCUUGGGUUUUGAUUGUUUUGUUUGAUUUUGAUUGGUUUUGUGGGAAUAGGGAUUGUUGGGCAUGUGGGUUUUGGUUGUUAUUGGACCUCAAUGAGGUUUCCCGGAUUUUCAUUUGAGGGUGGGCAGUCACAAACGUACCUGAUUCUUUUUUGUUUUUAAAUUUUACUUAAUUUUAUGAUAUUUAAAGUAUUGGUGAUUAUUUUGUGUGAUUUUUGGUUGAUUUUCUGGAAAUUUAGAGUAUUGGGAGGUGGGUUUAGUUUUUCUUGAAUAGCAAUAAUCUUUCAGGUCUGUGAUGAGAAUACCUGAUUGGGGCACUAUCUUUGCCUACCUUUUUAUUUUUUAUUUCUAAGGAAAAUGAUUUUCACAGUGAAAAUUUGUAAGAGAAUUAAAUGUAAUUAAACUUAGCAAAAAAUUAUAUAUUUUUAAACCAUUUAAUAUUUGAAUAGAAGAGAAAAAAAUAAGUGAAAUCACUUUAAAUAUAAAAAUAAUUUAUUAAUUUUAUUUAUUUAUUUUUUCUACCUUCUACUUUUCCUUUUUAUUUUAUUUCCCUUGCAUUUUCCCUCAUAUUUUUCAGGAACCAAACAUAUAAUUAGUGUUUUAGAGUAUUGGAUAUAUGGGUAUCAGUGGCAGUGAUAUCUGAGUAUUGGUGGCAGUGAACACUACGGACCUUUUAUUCUCAAGGUGUCAAAUAGACAUGCAUAAUUCUUUGGUAUUAGUUUGCUUUUGUAGAAAUAUGGAGAACUGGGUGUAUGGAUAUUUGUAAUAUUAAAAACUACUUAUCUUUUGUAGGACCUCUUUGGAUGGUUUGUCCAGAGGUUUGUGGUGAGACUCAAUUGGGGUUUAAAUUUUAGUUGAUUUUCUACCAUUUUUGUAAAUAUAUAUUGAAUGAUACUGCCCUGAAAAUUAGCCUUUUAAAGGAGAUAUCAGAGGGAUUUGUUAAUGUUAGAUUAUGUUUGUAUCUAUGUUGGAGAAGUUGCAAAUUGGUAGUGCAGCUUCUUAAUACUUGAUGGUGGCUGCUAGGCUUCCAUUUUUGCAACCCACUUUUGUCCUACAUAUAUUAGUAUUCCACAAUAAUGAUGCACUAACACAAGUGAUGUUACAGACUCAGGGACAAGUGUCAGGUCCAGGUCUAGCUUUUGUUUCAGAUAGAUCUGAUUCCCAAAUUUUUACAUUUAUAGUUGGUUGAAUCAUAAAAAUGUCCAAAUUUAAUCAAUGUCUUCCUUAAGAUAAAAUGAUAUUUCUCUGUUACAUAGCUUGUUUGACAUUGGAACUUGAUACUUUUUGAAACAUUUAUUGAUGAGGAUAAAGCAGGAAGCUAUCCUAGGGAAGGAACUUGUUCUUGUCUUCAUUUGUUGUAUACUUCUGCUGCUAAUGUCUGAUAGUGGAUUGGCUUGUUUCAUAUUCACAACCCAUACCCGUGUAAUGUUGAAACAUAGAGCAAAUGCGAUGGUGCAGAUAGAGUGCAUAAGCAAUGUUACUGCUUUCAUCUGGAAGUAUUACCAAUGCAACAUAAGUAGAAAGUAACUCAGAGCUUUCAUAAGGUCUUUGAACAAUUUUUUCCUUGGAUUUAAUGUUGUUUCAUUUUUUGGUUUGUAAUUUUAGAUAAUGGCCUUAUUGAACAUAGACAUAUUAGUCCUUGUUGGAUUUAGCUCCAACACUGCUUAUUAGCUUGGAAGCUUCUUGUAUUAGUAUAAUCAUAUACCCUAAUAUGGCCAGCAGAAGAAUAAAUUAUUUUUAGCUUUAAAAUGCUAUUCUUUACUUGUUCAGGUUAGUAAUGCGCAUAGUUGGAAGUGUAUGGACCUUUAUGUCUUUGCAACUCCAUACCAAGUGACAUGGGAUUACUACUUUUUGUCUCGGGAGCAUACCGUUCAAUUUGAUGCAUGGGAAGAAAAAGCUGAGUUUGAAUACGUAAGUUACUACUGGAUAGCACUUACUACCUCUUCUAAUUGUUUCUUAGUAUUUAUUCCUGAUUCAUAAUAUAUCCUUACUUUCUACUAAAUCAGGUGAAAAACGAAGGGGUUUCAGUUUUUCUCAUGCACGCUGGGAUGCGGGGAACCCUUGAAGCUCUCUGGGAUGUCUUCCCAUUAUUCACAAAUACUGAAUGGGGUGAGAACGCAAACCUUGGGUUUCUCAAGAAGCAUAUGGGGGCUUCAUUUCAAACACGUCCUCAGCCAUGGGUUACAAACAUUAGUGUUGAUGACAUUCACUCUGGAGAUUUCCUUGCAAUAUCAAAAAUUCGUGGACGGUGGGGUGGUUUUGAGACUCUAGAGAAGUGGGUCACGGGAUCUUAUGCUGGUCAUUCCGCAGUUUGCUUAAGGGAUUCUGAAGGGAAGCUAUGGGUUGGUGAAUCAGGACAUAGAAAUGAAAAGGUGAACCCUUACAAUUUUCUGAAUCAUGUGACAAUGAAGUAGUAGAAUUAUAUCAAACAUAAGCUCUUACUGUCAACAAUUUUUCAUACUGUUUCAAUUGGUAAUAUUUUCCAAUUUCUUUUUACUAUUUUAAAUUUUUUAACAUGUUUUUUCCUGUAUAUCUAUAGGCACGGGGCUAUUUUAAGGCUAUUCUGUUGCUACGAUGGUGUUUCAGUUGAAAAUGUCCUAUGAGCUGCAUUACGCAGUCAUGUUGCAACCAAGACAGCUCUAGCAAUAAUUCCUUUUCUUUAAACUCUUUAAUUUUAGUGCUGCACUUAUUGUUUACUUCAUUUAUUAAUUUGGUGUUUUCCCCAUUUGCUGACCAAUCCUUAAACUAUUUGGGUAUGCCAAGGUUGACUAUUUCUUAUUCUUCUGCUUGCAUUACAUCUAGAAAGUUUAAAAAUUACCACAUUUUGUAUACAAUAAUUCAAUGUGGGAUUUGAGAGAGGGAAAUAAUUUUAUUCAUCAAAGAUUCUUUUGGAUCAUUAUGUUUACAUGAGUUUCUUAUCAGAUGAUACAAACUACAGUCCUUACCAGAUAAUAUAAGUUACAUACUUUUGUUUUAAUAGAAAUAAGCUUCAAUUUUUUGGUCCUUUUCUUUUAAAUUAUUAACAGAGAUUGAGUGGCAUUUUUUUUUCUUGAAGAAUAUUUUUUUUCCUUAUUCAAUUUUUUGUACUUCUCUAAGACAUUAACCUUAACUAAUAAUUAGGUAUGGGCACUCAUAUGCAACUAUGAUUUUGAGUUAAUAAAAAAUGGUGCUUUACAUUUUUGUUCUAGGGAGAAGAUGUUAUUGUAACAUUACCAUGGGACGAAUGGUGGGAUGAUGCACUAACUCAAGAUGAUUCCAAUUCUCAUAUUGCGUUGCUUCCUUUGCAUCCUCACCUCCGAGCCAAGUUUAAUGAGACAGCUGCCUGGGAGUAUGCACGUAGCAUGGAAGGCAAACCUUAUGGUUACCAUAACAUGAUAUUUAGCUGGAUAGAUGCUCUGGAUGAAAACUAUCCACCCCCCUUAGAUGCUCAUGUGGUAUUGUUUUUCUCUAUUGUUUCUCAAAUUAAGCAACAACAUGCAAUUAAAACAAGAGUCAGAAAUGUUUCUCAGAUUUGGAUUAUUUUUUUAAAGGUGCUCUGCUAUCAUCUUAUGUAGUUUCAUACAUUUUAGUAUGCUGCUGCUCCCUAUCAAACACCCCUCUGCCAACCAAAAAAAGCAGAUCUUGGUGGAUCAACCAGAUUGCUGGUAGUGUAAAAGUUUUAUUUUCAACUAAUCAGCUUUGACUGUUUGUUUUAUGUGGCAUAGGUUGCUGCAGGUAUGACAGUUUGGAAUCAAAUGUGGCCUGCAUAUGCUGCUAACUUAUGGAAUGAGGCCUUGAACAAGAGGCUUGGAACUCAGGUAUUUAAUUAGUUGUUCUUCACCUUGCUUGACCAUUCACAAAUUAUCUUACUGAUGUGUUGGUUUACUGAUAUGGCAUUCUAAUGUCAAAAAUGAUAAUGUACAUGGUUGUUAAUUCGUCACCUUUUUCAUUGAUGAAUAACAUAUGGAACAUUUUGAAGCCCUUGAGGCCAAGCACACCUGGCAAGGGGUUGGGUUGAGGAUAUGGAAGGUUCUAGGUGUGAGUCCCAGCAUGGGCAAGAAAAUAAAUCUUAUUCAUAUAGAGGAAAAAACAUAUUGAACAUCUGAAUCUUUGAUGUAUAAUUGGUUGGAAAAAUAAAGUUCACCAUGUAGACUGCAUUAGGAAUUUGGGACUUGGCAUUUAAGGAUCCUCCUAAGUAUCCUCGGUCUGACGUAGAUAUCAUCAUGGCUGAUCUUAAAAAUCAAGUCAUCAGAAAUCUUGUAGUUUUAGAAAAAGUUAUAUCUAAUGGUUGCAAUCAUACUUGGUAUUGUUGAAUGUUAGAUUUGAAAUAAGAAAAAUGUCUAGUUGAUUUUUCUGAGAGAAAAAGGAAAAAUUGUUCUUGUUCUUAGCAUCCGAUGUAACUUUUUCCUUAAUGCAGAACCUUUCUCUUCCUGAGAUUCUAAUUGAAACUGAAACGCGUGGAUCGUCAUUUGCUGAAUUGCUGACAAUUCCUGAGCAGGAUGAUUGGGUUUACACUGAUGGAAAGUCAACAUCUUGUGUUGCUUUCAUUCUGGAAAUGUAUAAGGAGGCAGGAUUAUUUGGUCCAAUUGCUAGCUCUAUUCAAGGAACUGAGUUCACGGUGAGUCAAAGCAAUACAGAGUUUGCUAGUCCUGAUUAAAAGAAGUCACCAUUUAGCAUUAUCAUGAUAUAUUUUGGUUAUCAGUAGAUAAAUGUUAUGAAGAAAAUUGAACAUAAAUUAUCCAGCAUCAAAUGAUUAGGAUGAUCUGAUCCUAGUGGUUUUGGGGUUGAAGGUUUUCUGAACCAGAUAAAUGAUCCGUGUUCCUGUUUCACAUUCCCUCCUUAGUCUGCAUCGGAACUUAACUUAUAAUGUUCCCAAAUCAAAGUGUUAAGCAAUCUGAUUUAGUGGGUUGUUUGUGUAAAAAAGCAGAGUUAUUGCUGUCUUGCAUAUGUCUCAAUUUGUUUUAUUUCCAAAAAUGCAGAUAAAAGAUGCAUACACACUGAGUUUUUUUGAAAAUGAUUCAAGCCGCCUGCCAAAAUGGUGCAAUGAUGGGGACAUUGUGCAGCCUUAUUGUCAGAUAAAAGGAAAGUAUCGAAUGGAAUUGCCAGAGUACAAUACCCUGGAUCCAUACUCUCAUAUGAACGAAAAAUGCCCAUCCCUGCCUCCAAAAUACUCGAGGUCUGCAAAUUGCUGAAAAGGAUGAAAGGUUGUAGGUUUUAGAAUCAAGAAGUGUUAGAAGCAACAAAAAAAACUAUAUUUGAGCUAGCGAAAAUGUCUACUCUUAUUGAAUGAUCAAUGCAACAUUUAUACACAAGUUUGUAACAGAAAACAACAGAAAAGCAGCAAAAAUAGCUAUAUGUUGGGACUAACAGCUAUUUCCUUUAAAAUAGCAACAGCUACAUAACAGUUAUUAAGCUCCAUGAAACUCUAUCAGCUUCAUUGACUAAGUUUUUCAUGGUUGCAGCCUCAAUUUCAGCAUCUCUUUACACCUCAGCAGCUUUCUUAACAGAUUCGCUUUCACACGACUUCCGGCAUGUUUGUAGGUACUAAGGCAUUUUACUCAACACUCCUCCUUGACUUAGGAGCUACAAACUCCAAGUCUUUUAAUGAGAAAUUCAAACCUAGCUCUCGGUAGGGCUUUUGUUAGAAUAUCAACAUUUUGUACUUCUGUUUUACAAUGUUCCAAAUUUACUUCUCAAUCCUGCCGUAUUUCCCUUAAGAAAUAAAACUUGAUUUUUAAGUGCUUUGUCCUGCCAUGGAAUAUUGGAUUACUUGCAAUUUAAAUUGCAGCCUGAUUGUCAACAAAGACUUGUGUGCUUCCAGUUUGCUCCAUGUUUAGGUCUGUUAGCAGCUUUCUUAUCCAAAGUGCUUGAUUUGCAGCUGCAACAACAAUGUACUCUGUUUCGGCUGUGGAUUGUAGCACGAUAUCCUGUUUUUUAGAACACCAAAAGAAAAAACCUGAACCAAAACUGAAGCAAUAACCUGAUGUGCCUUUUAUAUAUCUCACAACACGUUUUGCUGCCUGCAAGUGAAUUUCACUAGCACAAUGCAUGUAUCUUGAGAGUAGACUUACAACAUGUACUAUAUUUGGCCUUGUUGCAGUCAAAUACAUUAGGCAUCCAAUCAUGCUUCUGUAUAACUCUUCAUCUACUUUUUCAGCACUAUUUUCUUUACAAAACUUUUCUUUUUGAUUCAUAGGUGUUGCUGUGGGCUUGCAUUCCUCCAUCUUGAACUUUUUGAGUUUCCUUUGCAUACUUUUGCUGACAGAUGAAUAUCUCGUGCUGAUUCUGAUGCACUUCCAUUCUCAAGAAAUAAGACAUGUCUCCAAGAUCUGUCAUCUCAAAGACCUCCUCCAUUUCAGCUUUGAAUUUAACCAUUAAACAUUGAUUGCUCCCUGUUACAAGCAAAUCAUCAAUGUAUAAUGAAACAAUAAGUAUGUCAGAAUUAACUUUUCUAAUAUAAAGUCUGGAUUCACUUUUGACCUUUUUUAGACCCCAGACUAAGCAGAUGUGCAUUAAUCCUGCUGUACCAAGCUCUGGGGGCUUGCUUUAAGCCAUACAAGGCUUUCUUUUGUUGAUAAACCUUGUCUUCUUUCCCUUUUACUGCAAAUCCUUUAGGUUGUCCCACGAAGAUUUCCUCCUCAAGGUAGCCAUUUAGGAUGGCUGAUUUUACAUCUAGCUGACAUAUUUUCCAACCUUUUUGAGUAGUCAAAGCUAGCAGCAUCCUUAUUGUAUCCAACCUAGCUACAAGUCCAAAGGUCUUUGAAAAAUCCACAUCGAACAUUUGAGCAUAACCUUUGACAACCAGCCUGGCUUUAUGUUUGUUUACAUAACCAUCAAAAUUGAGUUUGGUCCUAUAAACCCACUUGACACCAAUGGCCUUUUUAUGUGUUGGUCUGUCAACUAGCUCUCAAGUGUUUUUUUAUCUCUAUCAUGUUGAGUUCCUCCUGCAUUGCAACUCUCCAUUUUUGAUCCUCGGCAGCUUUAGUAAACCCUGCAGGCUUAAACACAACCACAUUACACCUUUGAUAAAUAUCAGAAAGUGAUCUGGUGCCUUUUAUAGGAAUGUCAUUAAUAUUUUCAUCAAGGAACUCGAGAUUCUGAUUUUUUUAGCAUCCUAGCUCCAUUUAUCAUCCUCCGUGAAUUUGACAUCUCUGCUGACAAUGACUUUGUCACCAUGAGGCAUAUAGACUCUAUAAGUCUUUGAUUGGCUGCUGUAUCCUACGAAGAUCCCAGCUUUAAUAGCCAACCAGUUAUUAGUAAUGAUGAAUGAAAAAACCUAGCAAAGAGUGAAGACCCAUAUUGUACAACGAUUUAUAUUAGCACGUUGUAGGUAUGACCAUAUGGGUUAGUGAUACCUCAUCCUUGCUCAGCAUCUGUUUGUUUGUUUGUCUAUCUCUUUGCUUUCUCACAUGUGUGCACACAUACAUAUAUGUGGUGAGUUGGGAUGACUUUAUUGGAUUGGAGCUUGGUGAAAAAUUGGUGAGAUCCGUAAGACAUUGAGCCCCAAAUUUUAGACUUGGUGAAUUGUGAGAGUCUGAAAAUUUUGAUCAACAUCUUGGCGCAAUAAUCCUUUUGUUUAUUUGGAUGAGUUUUGGUCUGAAUGAUAGAUGAUUUCGGUUUUGGGAGUUUGGUGAAAGAUUAAAAAAUAAUUUGAAUAAUGAAACAGGCAGAAUAUGUUGUAGCCUCGAAAGAAUUCUAAUGGAGGUAGAAGGUUGGGAUUUGGAGGAAAAUUUAAAUGACCUCAUUAAGCACUAGUAUGUGACCUGUUUGCUAAUCCCUAUUUUCAAAAGUAUAAAGUAAUGCUAUGAAUGUAGAAGUUGAAGAUACUGAAUUAGCGGAUCAAGCUGUUUUACGGUCUUUUUUGUACAUGUUUUCAGAUUGGGUUAGGAUGUAUGUAGAUUGUUCAUCAUGGUCCAUUUUCGAUUUCAAUGAUUGGUUGGGAUGUAAGUAAGGGGGUGAUUUUUUGCUAUUCCUUUUCUUUUUGGCCUUGUUGCCUUGUAUACAUCAUGUAUACUUUCAGGGGAAAAAAAUGAUGAUAUUUCAUUGUUUGAUGUCGAAAAUAUGAAAUUGUACUGAAGUUGAUAUGGUUGGUGCAGAAUGACAUUCGCAAGAACCCUGCUUUCAGAUCACAGUUCCAUGAGAUGUGCGCUAAAGUAGGAGUAGACCCCUUGGCAUUGAAUAAAGGAUUUUGGGUAGAGCUAUUAGGAAUUGGUGACUUCUAUUAUGAACUUGGUUGGUUUCAAUCUACUUGAUGGUGCACCUCUUGAAAUUUAUUUAAAAAGAAGUCUCUGACCUCUGAUCUGCCAUUUCUUUAAAAUAUAUGUUAUUUUGUUGAUUAUUCUGAGACUAGUUUGAAUGCAUGUGUUACUUUUUCAUGCUAUAAUUAAUGCAUGUUGUCAGUGUGCGUAUUCUAAACAACAUUUUUUUCUUGAUAGGAAACCACGCGUGAAUAUAUUGAUAGAAAAAGAAGUACAAAAGGAGGAUGAGGAAUCCUCCCGCCAAAAGUAAAACUAAACAACAUGAAAAAAUAACAAUACACUAGGCCGUCCCAUUGGAACUAUUGGAUCUACACACUGCUAGCCAAUCAAGUUGUAAUACGUUAAGGGGGAUGCCCUUAAAACCCGCUGAACAAAAAGCCCAAAAGGAUGCAAGGAAAUGAAUGGAAUCCCAAAGAUUCUCUGAAUUCCUAGUUUUGUCCUCAAAUAUCCUAACAUUUCUUUCCUGCCACACAACCCAGAUUAACGCUAUACUCGCGUUUUGCCACAGAAUUACCCCUCUCUUGGACUUGCCAAAUCCUUUAUAAUUGAUGAACAUCAUGUCUGAAAUGCUUUUCGGAGGUACCCAAUCCAUCUUGGCUAGCUGAAAAAGUCUGUGCCACAACCCCAACGUCACUGAACAAUGGAGAAAGAGAUGAUCUGCUGAUUCUCCUUGCUCCAUACACAACUUACAUAUGUCAAGGUUAAUAGCUUUGUGGGGUCUCCUCAAUUGUCGCAAGUCAUUGGUAUUUACCUUUUUGUGUGUCACAAGCCAGACAAAGGCCUUAACUUUGAAAAGGACUUGAGAUUUCCAUACAAACUUAGUGGGGAAAAAUGGAGAUGAAUUAGGCAUUUGGGACAAGGCUGUAAAGAAAGACUUAACUGUAAACAAUCCUGAAGACAAUAAGGACCAUGAUCUCGCGUCUGAAGCGGAAGUGGAUAAGUUCAUACAAUCUAGAGAGUGCAUGAGGCGUUCUAGAUCUUCUAUCUCAGAAUCGGUUAGAUUACGACAGAAAUUAAAGUUCCAUGAGAAAGGGCGAGACGAACCGAGAAUUGAAGAUAUAUGAAUAUUUUUAUCCAUUACUACUCGAUAUAGUCUUGGAUGUUGGUCUUUAAAGAUUUGGUCCCCCCACCACAAAUCUUCCCAAAAGCGAAUUUUUUCCCCAUCUCCUAUGAUAAACCGAGUAUACUUGGAAAAAUCCUAAAAGACUUGUGCAAUGGCCUUCCAAGGACAGCGGUGUGACCAUCUAACUACAGUAUUGGCAUCCCAACCAUUUGAGUGUGUCCCGUAUAUGCUAAGAAUGACCUGAUGCCAUAGAGUUGUACUUUCCCUAGGAAACCUCCACAACCAUUUCCCUAAAAGAGCGUGAUUCCUUAAAGGUAUCUUCCCAAUCCCUAAACCCCCUUUAACCCUCGGCUUGCACACUGCAUCCCACCUAACAAGAUGAUCUCUUUUGCCUUCCUCAACCCCUGACCAAAGAAAGUCCCUUUGCAUUCUCUCAACUUUUGCAACCACUGAAGUUGGAAUCUUAAACAGAGAAAGGAAGUAGCUAGGGAUAUGGGAAAGGUAAGAGUGUAGGAGAGUUAGCCUACCACCUAAAGAUAAGUAAGCCUUUUGCCAUCCGUCUAAUCUCCUAGAGAUUCUCUCAAUCAUUGGAUCCCAGAAUCCACAAGUAGUUGGAUUCCCUCCCAAAGGAGGAUCCAGAUAAAGUAUGGGUCAAUCUGAAGCCUUGCAGUCAAGCAUCAAGGCUAACCUAGAGAGAUGAUUCUGAUCAAGGUUGAUGCCAAAAAGAUUACUCUUGUCAAGAUUGACCUUAAGCCCAGAGAUUUGACCAAACACUAACAAUAAACUCUUAAGAGUUUGCAAUUCUUCCUGGGGGAAGAUCCGAAUAGACGCAUUUGGAUGGAUAAGGUUCCAAAAAAAGUGUCUUUUUUUGCUUGGGAAGCUUCGUGGGGGAAGAUCCUCACCUUGGAUAAGCUUCAAAGAAGGGGGUGGCAGCUCCCUAAUCGGUGUUUUUUGUGCAGCUGCGAAGAAGAAAAUGCGAAUCAUAUUCUUUUACAUUGUACAGUGGUUAAGACUAUUUGGGAGAUUACCCUUGUCAUCUUCAGAGUUCAAUGGGUGUUCCCAAAGUCAGUUAUAGAGGUGUUACUUAGCUGGAGGGGUUCUUUUGUGGGAAAAAAAGAAAAAAGAUAUGGAAUUCCAUCCCGUUGUGCAUAUUUUGGACGGUUUGGAAGGAAAGGAAUAGGUUAGCUUUCAGAGGAGGGUUGUUAGAUAUUCAGAAAUUCAAAAAUUUUUUUGUUUGUAACUUGUGGAGUUGGGCUAGGGUGUACAUUGGUGAGGAAACCUACUCUCUUUUAGGCUUUUUGGAGUGGCUUGCGACCACUUGAGGGUGGGUGAGGUUUAUCCCCUUUUUUCUUUCAGCUCUGUUUUUUGGGCUUUUCUGUAUACCCCUAUAUACGUGCGGCUUCUUAGCCUUUUCUAAUAUAUUUGGUUGUUUAUCUAUCAAAAAAAAGAGUUUGCAAUUCUUCCUUUCUAGGGUUAGCAAGAGGAUGGUAUCGUCCCAUCUGUUUCUACCUAUCUUGAAGCCUUCCAGCAAAUUUCUUGCCUCAACUUUCAACAACAUUCUACUCAACACAUCUGCAACAAUAGUGAACAGGAAAGGAGAUAAAGGGUCACCUUGUCUUAAACCUCUAGAUGCCUUGACCCACCCUUUAGCAUUACCGUUCACUAGAAUAACAUAAGAGACUGACGACAGACAACCUCUCAUCCAACUCCUCCAUUUAGAACUAAAUCCCUUCUUCUCCAACACGUGAUCCAAAAAAUCCCAUUUCACAUGGUCAUAAGCCUUUUCAAAGUCUAUCUUGAAUACAACUCCCUCCUUCCCUGAUCGCCUUUUCUCGUCCACAAUCUCAUUGGCUAUAAGAACUGCAUCCAGAAUUUGUCUCCCUUGAACAAAAGUACCUUGAGUGGAGUGGAUGGUCUCGUGUAGUACUCCUCUUAGUCGCCCUGACAAGACUUUUGCUAUUACCUUAUAUAGACAAGUGAUCAGACUAAUAGGUCUAAAAUCCGAAAUCUUCUUUGACUGACUCUUUUUGGGCAAAAGGACUAUGAAGGAAGUAUUGGUGUUUUGAUUAAUAAUCCCGCUAUUGUGAAACUCUGCAAACACCCUCACUAAGUCUUCCUUGAUCACAUCCCAACAAUCCUGAAACACUGCUAUGGUGAAACCGUCAGGCUCCGACGCCUUAUCCCUAUCUAACUGAAAGAUGACAUUAAAGAUCUCUACUUCAGCGAAAGGGGAAUCCAGCCUUGAAGCACUCUCUUCUGAUAUAGGGGACCAAUCAAUACCUUCUACUCUCCAUGACUCACCAGGAGGACUCGAGUAGAGCUUUUUGAAAUAAAGUAAUAUCUCUUCUGUGAUGCUCUCGGAAUUAUCCAACACCAAACCUCUUUCAUUUUCCAAGAAUUUGAUGAAAUUCCUGUUUCGUCUCCCAUUAGUCAUUUUGUGAAACAACUUUGAGUUACAAUCCCCGUCCUUAACCCAUUUUACCUUAGCUUUUUGUCUCCAAUGAAUUUUUUCUCUCAAAAUUAGUUCCUCUAGCUCCCCUUUUCUUACAACUCUUUGAGCUGCAAGAUCAGAAGAGAGAGCCCCUUCUUGUUCAAUGGCAUCAAUGUAAGCUAUUUCAUCCAAUAUGGUUUUUUUCCUUUCCUUAAGCAUUUCAAAAGUAUUCUUAUUCCAAUAUUUCAAUUUUGCCUUAACGAAUUGUAACUUCCUAGUGAACUUGUGACCUUUCUAACCAUUUCCUUCAAAUUCUCUCCACCAACUGCUAAAGCACUCUUUGAAACUAUGAUGUUGCAACCACAUAUUCUCGAACCUAAAAGGUGUUGGGCCCCACUUGAACGGAUUGGUAUCCAAGACAAUCGACCAAUGAUCCGAUGUCCAUCUAGGAAGAACUUCUUGAAGGCUUUGAGGGAAGGAAAGCUCCCACUCAUUUGAAUAGAAAAACCGAUCCAAUCUCUUACACACCGGUGACUCUUGCAUGUUUGACCAAGUAAAAGAGGCAUUCCGUAAUGGGGGAUCAUGUAAUUCGCAUUCUCUUAUAAAACCAUCAAAAUCCCUCAUGCUGGAAGUGAAUCCAGAUCCCUCCAGUUUUUCUGAUCUUCUCCUUAUAACAUUGAAGUCACCUCCCACACACCAUGAAGGAUAAGUAAGGCAAAAAAGGUCUAAUAACUCCACCCAAAAAUCCUUCCUAAUUGAGGGAUUGUUUGGCCCAUAGACUGCGGACAACCACAAUGGUCCGCUUCCAUCCAACAAGAACUUGACUGAGACGGAAAAGGAUCCUAUUACCACCUCCUCACCGCUCAUUUUUUUUGAGUUCCAAAUGAUCAAAAUCCCUCCUGAAGCCCCGCACGUCGGGAGAAUAACCCACUCCUUAUUCCUAACCGACCAGACACUAUUUACAAACUUUCUGUCGCACACCUUUCUUUUUGUUUCCUGAAACAUCACUACAUUCGGAUUCUGAAGUCGCAAAAAUUCCUUAACCACCCUCCUCUUUUUCCUAGAUCCCAGCCCCCUUAUAUUCCAGCUUAUGAUCCUCAUAAUAACACCUCACUGUCCCUAAAUCUCCAAACCAUCACCACCAAAGCUCAAUUGCCUAUGGCAAUUCUGUUCUUUCGUCUUGAAUACACCUUAAUAUCCAAGGAGCUUAAGACCUCACAAACUUUAGCCAUUUUGCUGGGGGAAAGACCUUCUAUUUGGAACCCCCCUCAUCUGGGAGAAUUCUGAGUCUCCCUGGCUUACUGCACCCAGAAUAGGGGCCCCAUGAGGCGAGUUGGGAUUGGUCCUAUCAUACUUAAAGCUCUCAGACAUCAGAUUCAAUCUAGCCAGCUGGGACACCGCUUCAACAUGAUUAGGAUUGCCAACAUACCCAAGACGAUAAUCCCCAACGACAUUUUUUUUUGAACAACUUUCAGUUAACACUCGGUCUUUCAUAGGAAACUGGGAAUGAAAGGCUGAAAUGGAGAGAUCGGGAACAGAAGGACUUUGGUAUGGAGGAGCCACACCAGAGAAGGGAGACCGUAAAGGCAGAGAAGGCUGAGAAGAAUGGUGAGAAGAUACCUGGAAAAUUCCCACUUCCGUCAUUCCACAGUACCCCUCAAAGAUAAGCCCUUUUUCUUUGUUUGCGGGAUAAGAAGGAUGAUCUGAGACUGAAGAUCCACUAUGAGAAUAACCCGCAAAGCCCUUAACACCUGCUCUGUCUUCUCCUAUAGCAUUAUUGCGCAUUUUCUCCUUCUCUUUUGACAUAAAAGGAGCCCUAAGAAUAUUCCUUUGUUCCUCGAUUUCCUCUGUCGGCGUCGUUCCUUCCUCGAAACACCCUUGAACCAACUGUGAUCCCGCCUCGGAGGCUUCUUCCAAUGGAAGAGUAUCGCUACCUGUCGGCGAUCUCUCAGUCGUGAGUGGCUCUCCUCGGCUUCGAUCCCCUUGUCGGCAUGCAGAGCUUGAUGGAAGUAGAACAUUCCACAGCUUCUUUGAACCACACUUCACCGUGAAGCCCCUCCGUUGAUUUUCAGAUUCCUCGUAGCCUACCUUCGCCUUCCCCUUUGCAGAGUGAGUAGCUCUGUGUGACGGGCCCUUUGACAAUCUGUCUUGCUUGCCUCCCAUCUCUUGGCCCAGCGACUGAAUCGGGCCUAUUCUAAACAACAUGCAUGUUGUCAGUAUGAUUCUUGCACAGUGCAGUUCAAAUGAAAUUUUGUAUUGGGGAGAAGUGAGCAGAAAUGUUCUCCAGGAGAUGUUGCAAGGGCACAAUUGACCCAAAUUCUGAUCUUAGAUUAGAAUUUGGAACAUAAAUUAUGAAUCAAUUUGUUGCGUAGGUUAAGAUUCCUCUGUGCAUUUAUCUUCUCUAUUUUCUAUUAUUAAUGAAUCUUUAUUGCAUAUUGAAACUGGGUGAUAGCUUUUUGUAGCCCCUGAUAUGAAUGGAUAAAAUGUGUGGGUACAUACAUGCAAAUAUGCAUACCUACACACUCACAGACUCCACAUCAUAUAUUUGGAUAAAUACUUACCUUAUCUUUUUGAUAAGUACCUAUAAAAAAAAAAAUAUAUUUGGAUAAGUACUUUACUUUGCAUACCACCUCAGCCCCUGCCCCAAGGAAAAAGAAAAAAAAAAGGCAAAACUUUAAGCUACUUCAAUUACCUUAAUGAAACACCAUCGCCUGUGUGUGCUGCAACCUCUAAAGAACUGCUGAUUCAGUAUUCAUGCUUCCUGCAGUUUCAAAUAAUAAUGUCCUUUUUAGUGGUUUGUUUGAGAUAAAACUUUCUUAUUUAUAUUGAAUUGAAGAUAUCCAUAAAAAAAUGGAUAUUGAAUUAAAGAUUCUUAGGGAAUAUUGAUUCUAUUUUCUGUAAAUAUUUAUCAACCCAAUUUCAGAGAUGAAACUUACUUUUGUUUGUGAGUAUACUUGGCUAGACAGGUGUGCAAAUUGUUGACAUAUGCUUAGCGACAAGAGUUCACAAUGGAGGUUUCAUUGACUUGCAGGAACUGUGCAAUUUGCUUUGCCAGAGACGUAAAAGUUGCUCAUGGAGCUGUAUCUGAGGAUGACUGCUUGCGUGCCAUAAGUAAGCUGAAGGUAUUGUAGUUGAUUCUCUCUCUUAAUGUUUCACAGCAUACUAUGUUUAUGGAGCAAGUGCUCUGAAAUGGCUUGAAUUCUUGGUAUAUGCUUAAGAUCUGCAUGGGUGGUGGUAGGGUUUUGGAAUCUGAUGUGAAGAUGUGUUGCUUAAUUCAAAGUUCUUAAAACUAAGAAGUCUUGAGGAAAUCAAGUAAAGGAUGAGAGACAUAGUCUAUGACCCUGCACCUUUCCCAUAUUCAUUCAAAUAUAGUUUAAGAGUGUGUUUAGUGUGCCAGUAUCCAAAUUAAGAGUUGGAAAUCAUAUUUCUUAAAAUAAAAUCCCAAAAUGCAUUGAAUCUGAGAUUUUUUAUCCUAACAUUUAGUUAAAGUUGAAUUAGAAAUUUCACUUACAUUUUAUUCCAAUCCUAGGCUUUUGAUCUUAUAAAUUCCUGAAAUUAUUGUCAAUCUACAUGAUAAUCCCACAAAUGGUAUUAACAAAAAUGGGUUUAGUUAAAAAUAUAAAAAGAAAUAAAUAUGAGGUGUGUAUGUUUCUUUUAUCUUCAUCCCUGAAGAAUAUGAAUAAAAGAAUAGGCAAUCUUAAAUAGGUGAGGGAAUUUCACAUCCAAGGAAAUCAAAACUUUCAUACAAUGACUAUUAUCAUCUUGCCUCCCAUCUUGCUCCACAGCUCAACUAGAUAGAUGUGAUACCAGCGUCGCACAGGAAUGUUUUGGUCAAAAAAAGAAAAAAAGAGAAAGGGUAAACAAAACUUUUAUAAUUAUGCACGUUUUUUUUUUUUUUUUUUUUUGAUAGAUAAACGAUCAGAAUAUAUUAGAAAAGGCUAAAAAGCCGCAUGUAUACAGGGGGUAUACACAAAUGCCCCAAAAGGGGAACCGAACAAAAAAGAGGGAGAACCUCACCCACCCUCAAGUGGCCGCAAGCCACUCCAAAAAGCCUAAAAGAGAAUAGGUAUCCUCACCAAUGUACACCCUAGCCCAACUCCACAAAUUACAUACAAAAAAAUUCUUGAAUUUUUGUAUAUCUAAAGACCCCCCCCUAAACGCUAACCUAUUCCUUUCCUUCCAAACCGUCCAAAAAAUGCACAAUGGAAUGGAAUUCCAGGUGUCUUUUCUUUUUUUCCCCACAAAAGAACAUGCUAAACCCAUAAUUUGAUAUAGGAUGCCAUUCCCCUAUUAAAGGUAAUUGUGUCAAAAUAUUGUAUGAAUGGCCGAAUCCCUUGACCUUGAGUUUUGUAUAUUAUAUAUAGACUUUACAAGGAUGCUAUACAUGGAAAGCAAAUAAAAACAAAUAAAUUCCCGCAUGAUUCUAGCCCUAUACAUGUAAACUAUAAUCUGUCAAAUAAUAUAUGUUAACUGUACAGAAUAAUAAAUGGAGAAAUAAAGAAACAAUUGUGGGCUAAAAUAAGGAAAGAAGAAAUGUGGACAGCAAGUUGUCCUUUGACAGCCCCCCUCAAAUUGAUGCAGGUUAAUCAACAAGCAUCAAUUUGCUACUUAGCAAGCAAUGUCGAUGACGAGGGAGAGCCUUGGUGAAGAUAUCAGCAACUUGUAAGUCAGUGGAAAUAUGUGGAAGAGUGAUAACAUGAGCUUCAAAGGUUGCACGGAUAGAGUGACAGUCCACUUCAAUAUGCUUUGUGCGCUCAUGAUAGACAGGAUUAGUCGUGAUCUGAAUAGUACUUGUAUUAUCGGCAUGUAGAGGUGUAGGAUCGGUCUCAAAAAAGUCUAACUUCACAAGCAAACCUCGAAGCCAAAUGAUUUUAGAAUAAGCAAGAGACAUCGCCCGGUUCUCAGAUUCCGUAGAUGACUUAGAGACUCUAUCUUGCUUCUUACUUUUCACAAACAUCUUAAACUAAAACUCCCUACUAAGAUAGUUUUUGCCAUUGAAACAAACAAUAGAAUAUUCUUCAGACAUUACGAAAACAGAAAUAGCCUAGGAAACAAAAAAAACAUCGUCAAAGAGCCUAAAUCUGAUAACAAACCUCCAAAUAAUCGAAGAUCUCCAAGAGCCUAGAAUCGAAGAAACCCAAAGAAAACUCCAAGAUCACAUCACAGAUGUGUUGUCACAACCACCAGAAAAAAAAGAAAAAGAACCGAAAAGCUGGGCUAGAGUCCGAGAGCCCCUAGGGCUAAAUCCGAGAGCCCUUAGGGCUAAAUCCGAGAGCCCCUUAGGGCUAAAUCCGAGAGCCCCUUAGGGCUAAAUCCGAGAAAACCUAAAGAAAAACUAGAAAGCGUGUAAACUCUAGGUUCAGAACACAAGCUCUAAUACCAUGUCAAAAUAUUGUAUGAAUGGCCGAAUCCCUUGACCUUGAGUUUUGUAUAUUAUAUAUAGACUUUACAAGGAUGCUAUACAUGGAAAGCAAAUAAAAGCAAAUAAAUUCCCGCAUGAUUCUAGCCCUAUAUAUGUAAAUUAUAAUCUGUCAAAUAAUAUAUGCUAACUGUACAGAAUAAUAAAUGGAGAAAUAAAGAAACAAUUGUGGGCUAAAAUAAGAAAAGAAGUGUGGGCUAAAAUAAGGAAAGAAGAAGUGUGGACAGCAAGUUGUCCUUUGACAAAUUGACAUGGUUGUUCACUCAUAAAAUGUAUCCUGUUUCAUUUUUCUAUUUUUUCUAUAUCUUGUAUCUUAUCAUAUCAUGUUUCCUAAGUUUUCUUACAUAAUGAAAAAUAAGAAGAAAAAAUACACAUACAUAUAUGGAAUACAUAUUUAUUGGAAGAAUAAAAGUAUAUAGUAAUGUAUAAUCAAUUUCAUGAAAGGUGGUAGGAUUUCAAGAGUUAAACUAUGUCAUACCAUAUAAAAAAAAAAAAUGAACGCUAGAGUUUUGAAAAGUUCAAUUUUACAAAAUAUGAGUUUAAUGCAUAGGUUAGUUACAAAAUCUACUAAAAUAAACUUUUUGAAAAUUCAGAUAUGAUUUUUAGUUCCAAAUUGAGAUUAGGAAUAUGUACUUACAUAUGUUUGUGAUAUGUGUGUUUUUAUGCGUGAUCACCAAAAUUUUAAUUUUUUGUGUUUUGUCAUCGUUCGUUUCUCACUAGAAAAGAAAUCUUGAAACUAAAAGAAGAAAAACUAAUUUAUUAAAUAAAAGAUUUUUAUUUACAAAUCGCCAUUAUUUCAAUGUCAAUUUUCAAAUAAUUAAAAUUGCAAUUCCCCAAUAUUCAUUGUAAGAAUAAUUUUAGUUGAACUCUCAAUAUUUUAUGUGUCUUUUAACAACAAGAAUAUAACUUCUCAUGUAUGAUUAUUUUCUCUUUUUUAUGAUCAAUUUUUAACCUUAAAGUACAUUUUAAACACAUAAUUAAUAAUGCUUUUAAGAAAAAAAAAUGUUGAAUUUGAUUAUUCUUAAAAAAACUAUGAAAAAUAGCUAAAGGUGCAUGUAUUAUUAUAUUGUUGUAUUAUGUCAUAUCAUGUAUCCUGUUUGCGUCGUCUGAUACACUUAAGAUACGGAUUGUCAAUACGUAUUUGAAUUUCAUAAAGAAUGUAUUAUAUUUUUGUAUCAUAUUGUUUAUCAUAAGUUUUUAAUGAUGGUAACUAGAAGCCAUAUGCAUCCCAAGGGAUUUCCCUGGUCAAUAGUUAACCAAUUCAAUCAAUCUCACCUCUAUAACAUUCUUCUAGAUUAAAAGAUAACUGCUCCCAUUAAACAUCUAUGGAUGGAUAUUAGGACUUUCUUGGAGCAUCUAUCAAUGAUUAAGACUUUCAUCUAAUGCUGACAUCUAUACUUGAUUUCUUUUAUUUUCAGUAUUAUUAAUUUUUUGAUAUAUAUUGGUGCCAUUACUAUUUCUUGCCAGAAGUAAAUGGAAUGUUUGCAUGGUUUGAUCAGUAGCGAACUUCUUUAAUAUAAACGUCAGGAUGCAUCUCCUAAGCAGUGUUCUUGAUGUUUAUGAUACACUGUAUUAACAUUCGGUGCUCGAACCUUUCCAGGUAUUGGGUAGUGGUUUUGAGGUGAUAUCUGUUGGAAAGCGAAAGCUUGUUAGGUCUGUCCCUACAGAGUUGAACAAAGACCAUAAUUCAAUUCUAGAGCUGGCUCAGGUUAUGAUUGUUUUCAAUUUUUCCCUUAAGACUUCUUGAUGCAAUAUUCUCUUAUAUAAAACUUAUUGCUAUUUUUUCUUCUCCUCUAUUGCUUGCCUGACAUUGUUAAAACUUUUAAAAUCCAUGCAUAUGUUAGUUUCAGAUUAUAGGACUGGUCUGAGUCAGAUUUGCUCUAUGUGUGUCAUUGGAGAGGACCAACUAUAAAGAAGUGGAUCUAUCUUUCUUAUCAUAUUUAACCACUAAGAUAUGGGGCAAAAAAUUGCAAAAAACAUGCAAAGACCUUCGUUUUAUUAGCUAAGUAGGCCAUAUUCUAAAGGUCUUCUCAUGGAAUCCAUGGACUGAGCACUUGUUUCAUGUUGUCAACCUAAAUAUGCUUGUUUUAAUAGCCAAGCAGUUAUUAGUAAUGAUGAAUAAAAAAACCUAGCAAAGAGUGAAGACCCAUAUUUUACAGCGAUUUAUAUUAGUGUGUUGUAGGUAUGACCAUAUGGGUUAGUGAAACCUCAUCCUUGCUCAGCAUCCGUCUGUCUGUCUGUCUAUCUCUUCGCUUUCUCACACGCGUGCACACAUACACAUAUAUGUGGUGAGUUGGGAUGACUUUAUUGCUGAACUAGCCUAGUUUGCUAAGGUGGUUCUGAAAAGUUGGAGACAGUGUACAAAGACUUCAUUCUGAACGUAGGGAAGUUUACCUGUGGUAAAGGUAGCUUGUUUGCUUUACUACAUGUAAAUGAAGCACUUUCAUUUAUGGCAAACUUGGGGACCUUAACCAACUGAUCGGCUCUGGUCUAUUAAACACAGAACAAAACCAUAGUUCUUUCCCUAUUUCCACUAUAAUGAUUGUCACAAUUGUGUUGCAAUUACUCUUCCUUCCAGGCUCAAGGCUUUGUUACUAUUGAAGAGGUGGAAGGACGGCUCUCCUGGCCCUCUGGGCGCGCCACUGAUGCCCUUGAAACUUUAUUGGACGUAAGAUUUUCGUUGAUCAUCAAUCAGUCCUAAUAUUCAUUUUAAUUGAUGCUCAUGAAACUCUGUUGGGUGAUGCAGGAAGGUCUUGCAAUGAUUGAUAAUGGUCACAGAGAUGGCAAACGCCGGUACUGGUUUCCCUGUGCAUCUUCACUCUCUGCUGUAGGAGCUGAUAUUCUCAAGAUUUGAUUUUUCAGCACCAUGUUUUCUGCCCUGGGCAUUGUCUGGUAAAAGGGUGUGUAUGGGAUAGGUCUAGCAUUGGAAUCCAGUAUUUUUGUUUAUUUAUCAGGAAAAAAUGCAAAAAAAUAAAAAUAAAAACCCCAUUUGUGAUAUAGACAUUUGAUGUGGGGACCUGAAAGGAAAAAAAGGGUGUUUGUUCCACCCCACAACCCCGCUCCACCACUUUGUUUUCCUUGUUACUAAUGUUUCAUCUUUUUAAAGAUGUGAUUGUCAGAACACGAAGCAUCUCUCCACGGCUAUCAUCUGUUCCAACUAUAGUUAUUCCCUUCCAUUUGAUGACUGGCAAAACAAUGAAACAGUGAAUAGUAACCCUGAAACGAACUUUAUAGAAAAGCUUUAAUUGUUUGGUUGCUAAGAAAAUGGAGAAAAGGAUGGAAGCGAUCCGGAGAUAUAACAUUAAACUGGAUCGAGUGAUUAUAGCAUGAAUGUGUUCCUCCUGGUUGUGCAGCCGAUGACCAUAUACAUAUUCACUUUUUAGGAAUGAAUCUCCAAAUUAAAUACAUGAUGCAAUUUUUUUAUUGUCCCCAAACCCUGCAAUUCUAGCAAAGAGAGGGAGAAAAAAAAAUGAUCAGUAGACUGUAGUUUGUGAAUGUGUUUCAAUCUCUUCGAUCCAGCCAAAGUUGGGCUCGCUCCAAGACCUCGGCCGCACACCAAGCUGGAAGAACAAGAUCAUCUCCAAGGCCUCAAAAACCUUAUUCUCAUCCAAGAACUCAUUCCAAACUCCGCUCACAAUACAGUAGUUGUUGUUAUAAGGUGCAUGAUGGUGGGCAGCAUGCUGUGAUCUCGACACUAGCAGUCCAGCAUCUUGCAGCGCCACCACUAGCGGAGGGAGGCGGCUUUUUGUGCCAUGAGCCCAGGCAUGGAACUGCUGGCUGAACAUAAUGCAGCCUGAGCACACCCAAACAAAGCCAUGUACAACUGGAUCAUUGAAGACAAGAUCUAGAGGAAGCACGGUAAAGGUUACAGCACGAGCCAGGGCAUGUAGAUUGUUGGCAAACUGGCGGCGGAUGAUCGUCCAGGGCCACUUGUGAUGGCCCUGGAAGGCUUCAAUCUGAGAACCAAACACAGGAGUUGAGGCAUCACCAUAGUUAUCAAUGCCCCAAUGGUAAACCCCUGAGCCAAGGUCUGCAAGCACAUAGCCAAUUAGGCCAGCCAAAACAGGUUCUAGCCACAUAUGUGAAUGGGCUGAACCCGUGGCACACUUCAAUAAAGAAAUGAGCACGGUGGUGCACCCGCUUGCCACCCACGCUCGAUGAGGCCAUGUAGAUAAUAAAUCCGGGUCCUUGAUCGAGGGGCGGUCAGGGGUUUUGGCAAUGGGGGUUGGGGUUAAGGGUCUUGGUUCAAUGACUAGUUGGUCAGCUUUGUGCUUGGCCUUUGCAGUGGAGGUGGCUGAGCAGUGGACAAGGGCGGGGAAGCGUCUAUGGUGGCGUCUUCCGACAUUGUUGGGAGACCUUAGAGAGUAGUACUUGUGGUGUGGGAAGGAGGUGGACAUUGAAGGGCGUGAGAGGCUAAGAGAAAACCCACCGCAAGAGGGAGUAAAUAAAGGUGGAAAUAGUGGCUGUGGAGAUAGAGAAAGCAGUGUGGUGUGAGA